AUUGAACGCUGGCGGCAGGCCUAACACAUGCAAGUCGAGCGGUAACAGGACUAGCUUGCUAGUUGCUGACAAGCGGCGGACGGGUGCGUAACACGUAGGAAUCUACCCAGUAGCGGGGGAUAGCCCGGAGAAAUCCGGAUUAAUACCGCAUACGCCCUACGGGGGAAAGCAGGGGAUCUUCGGACCUUGCACUAUUGGAUGAGCCUGCGUCGGAUUAGCUUGUUGGUGAGGUAAAGGCUCACCAAGGCGACGAUCCGUAGCUGGUCUGAGAGGAUGAUCAGCCACACUGGGACUGAGACACGGCCCAGACUCCUACGGGAGGCAGCAGUGGGGAAUAUUGCACAAUGGGCGAAAGCCUGAUGCAGCCAUGCCGCGUGUGUGAAGAAGGCUCUAGGGUUGUAAAGCACUUUCAGCGAGGAGGAAAGGUUGAUGAUUAAUACUCAUUAGCUGUGACGUUACUCGCAGAAGAAGCACCGGCUAACUCCGUGCCAGCAGCCGUGGUAAUACGGAGGGUGCAAGCGUUAAUCGGAAUUACUGGGCGUAAAGCGUGCGUAGGCGGCUUGCUAAGUUGGAUGUGAAAGCCCCGGGCUCAACCUGGGA
This 600-nucleotide ribosomal RNA is filed under the name uncultured bacterium. RNAcentral's name for it is "bacterial SSU rRNA". It matches the Rfam family "Bacterial small subunit ribosomal RNA", at positions 28 to 619 of the family's 1533-position model. The record is from RNAcentral.